This 593-nucleotide ribosomal RNA is filed under the name Rhodotorula mucilaginosa. RNAcentral describes it as "eukaryotic LSU rRNA". It matches the Rfam family "Eukaryotic large subunit ribosomal RNA", at positions 39 to 648 of the family's 3401-position model. The record is from RNAcentral. Lineage: Eukaryota; Fungi; Basidiomycota; Microbotryomycetes; Sporidiobolales; Sporidiobolaceae.
CAUAUCAAUAAGCGGAGGAAAAGAAACUAACAAGGAUUCCCCUAGUAGCGGCGAGCGAAGCGGGAAGAGCUCAAAUUUAUAAUCUGGCACCUUCGGUGUCCGAGUUGUAAUCUCUAGAAAUGUUUUCCGCGUUGGACCGCACACAAGUCUGUUGGAAUACAGCGGCAUAGUGGUGAGACCCCCGUAUAUGGUGCGGACGCCCAGCGCUUUGUGAUACAUUUUCGAAGAGUCGAGUUGUUUGGGAAUGCAGCUCAAAUUGGGUGGUAAAUUCCAUCUAAAGCUAAAUAUUGGCGAGAGACCGAUAGCGAACAAGUACCGUGAGGGAAAGAUGAAAAGCACUUUGGAAAGAGAGUUAACAGUACGUGAAAUUGUUGGAAGGGAAACGCUUGAAGUCAGACUUGCUUGCCGAGCAAUCGGUUUGCAGGCCAGCAUCAGUUUUCCGGGAUGGAUAAUGGUAGAGAGAAGGUAGCAGUUUCGGCUGUGUUAUAGCUCUCUGCUGGAUACAUCUUGGGGGACUGAGGAACGCAGUGUGCCUUUGGCGGGGGUUUCGACCUCUUCACACUUAGGAUGCUGGUGGAAUGGCUUUAAACGAC